This is a long non-coding RNA of Lolium rigidum, 1784 nucleotides long. RefSeq lists it as uncharacterized. The transcript is spliced from 10 exons. The record is from RefSeq and is a predicted model, not a curated record. Lineage: Eukaryota; Viridiplantae; Streptophyta; Magnoliopsida; Poales; Poaceae.
AUGGCUUGGAUUGGUUUGCUCGAGCCUCCCCCAGAUAGCACCACCCCCGGCCCCCGCAUACCUCGAGCCCCACGCCCUCUCUCCCGCACGCAAACUCGUCUCCCUCUCUUCCCCUCUCAGCACGCAAAAACCAUCUUUCGAUGAAUCUGGCUGCCUACGUUGGCGCUGGUGUAGGAGGCGGUGGAUCCCUCCUUCAACACGCACCUCCGGCCGCUCGAUGCAGGGCGGCGCGGUCAGAAUAGCCGGAGAAAUAGGUGGAGGAAGAGAGGUGAGGACAAUACAUGCGGCAGUGCAGCGCAACCAUGGUGGCCGUGACCAUUCAUGACCGGCCUUGACGGGCGCUGCUUGGGGAGAGAGAGGCAGGCGUCGAGCAGCGUCGAGCGCGUCCGAUGGAGUGAUGCCAUGAAUGAUGGUGCUUUAUUGUGUUGUUGGUGUAUAUUUUCAAGGGAUAUAUGCACAUUCCCGUGUGAAUUUCGUCAGCUGCACAAGAUCUUCUUGAUAAGAUUCUUGAACCAAGCCCAAUGAAGAGGACACAGCCAGGUGUACCCCAGCCGCUGGAAGCAAUAGCGGCCAAGGCUCUACCGCUUUCCCAAAUAGGUCCUUGGCUGACACGCUGCUCCAGCUCCUCCGGCGAGAUUGUACCAGCCUACGGUGAUAGCUCCAGCAAAUUGCAUGGACAUUCUUGAUCUUGUUUUACUGUGCUUCGGUUGGUUGUAAUAGAGAAAACCGUCUUUAUAUUGUGGCUGGAUGCAUGGUUGACUCCAGAAAAAAGCAGCUCAGAGGCUAUUGUAAAAAAACAUUAUGAGUUACUAUCAAAAUUAUGUUGCAACAAUAUGAACACAACACCUGAGCUUCACACCCUUCAGAAUAUCGGUCAUUGUAGUAUGGGGUUUUCUAGGUUAACGUGCACGAUUGAAACUUUGGAAUACCGGUUCAGAAAUUAAGAACAUGAAGGACUUGGUCUGGAUCUGAAUGAAAAGUUGGAUUCAAUGAAAGCUGAAAAGGGGUUGCAACUAGCUAUGGAAACAGGGGAUUUUCCAGAAUUCAGCAAUGUUGAUUCCACUGACAGGAAAGCCGGUCCAACUAUCAAAGGGCCAAGGUUCUUUGUGUGAGAAAAUCACCAGGUCAACAACUCCAUCUUGAUAUUAGACAAUGCCUGCACGAAGGAGAAGAUACUGAGAAUGGAGAAGGCUAUUCUGAAUGAGCUUCAGUGGAACCUCACCGUUCCUACACCAUAUGUCUUCUUUCUGCAAUUUACAGCGGCAAUUGCCAGAUUGGUGUUUUCAAAGCCAUCCAUGGUUGAUGCUGCUGAUGCCUACAGCUCUACACAGCUACGCUCAAGCUCAUCCCAAGAAGACCCCUGUAUUGACUGACACCCUCAAGCAUCACACUGGCUUUACUUAAUGUACUCAUGCACACUAAAUCACAGCUAAUGUAAAGCAUGUACACUACUGACUUUACAUAAACCUCUAUUUGCUUAAAUAUAGUGUUUAGGGAAUUUUCAGGGAUGCGCACACUCCACUGCCACUCAAAGAAAUCCAAGGUGGUGUAUAAGAAGUAUUGUAGCUACAAGCGGGAGGAGUCCAUGCAUGCAUCUGAUAUUGAAUUACAAGUAAAUGGGGAUUUCUAUGAAGCGUUUGCUUUAAAGUGCAGUUAAAGGCGAGUCUAACAUUUGAUUUGUUUUGUCAGUUCAAUAAGAAUACAAGAAGGCAUGAUAUUGCUCGGUUUCUAUGAUCUCAGUUCGUUCUAAGAACGUAUGAUUUAUCUUUAUUACUUUGCAGUUC